RNAcentral lists this ribosomal RNA (435 nucleotides) under uncultured Flavobacterium sp. RNAcentral's name for it is "bacterial SSU rRNA". It matches the Rfam family "Bacterial small subunit ribosomal RNA", at positions 358 to 790 of the family's 1533-position model. The record is from RNAcentral. Lineage: Bacteria; Pseudomonadati; Bacteroidota; Flavobacteriia; Flavobacteriales; Flavobacteriaceae.
GGAAUAUUGGACAAUGGGCGCAAGCCUGAUCCAGCCAUGCCGCGUGCAGGAUGACGGUCCUAUGGAUUGUAAACUGCUUUUGUACAGGAAGAAACACUCCGACGUGUCGGAGCUUGACGGUACUGUAAGAAUAAGGAUCGGCUAACUCCGUGCCAGCAGCCGCGGUAAUACGGAGGAUCCAAGCGUUAUCCGGAAUCAUUGGGUUUAAAGGGUCCGUAGGCGGUUUAAUAAGUCAGUGGUGAAAGCCCAUCGCUCAACGGUGGAACGGCCAUUGAUACUGUUAGACUUGAAUUAUUAGGAAGUAACUAGAAUAUGUAGUGUAGCGGUGAAAUGCUUAGAGAUUACAUGGAAUACCAAUUGCGAAGGCAGGUUACUACUAAUUGAUUGACGCUGAUGGACGAAAGCGUGGGUAGCGAACAGGAUUAGAUACCCUUG